This 468-nucleotide ribosomal RNA is filed under the name uncultured bacterium. Its description in RNAcentral is "partial 16S ribosomal RNA". It matches the Rfam family "Bacterial small subunit ribosomal RNA", at positions 28 to 523 of the family's 1533-position model. The record is from RNAcentral.
GAUGAACGCUGGCGGCGUGCCUAACACAUGCAAGUCGAGCGAUCUUCUUCGGAAGAGAGCGGCGGACGGGUGAGUAACGCGUGGGUAACCUGCCCUGAACACACGGAUAACAUACCGAAAGGUAUGCUAAUACGAGAUAAUAUACUUUUAUCGCAUGGUAGAAGUAUCAAAGCUUUUGCGGUACAGGAUGGACCCGCGUCUGAUUAGCUAGUUGGUAAGGUAACGGCUUACCAAGGCGACGAUCAGUAGCCGACCUGAGAGGGUGAUCGGCCACAUUGGAACUGAGACACGGUCCAAACUCCUACGGGAGGCAGCAGUGGGGAAUAUUGCACAAUGGGCGAAGGCCUGAUGCAGCAACGCCGCGUGAGCGAUGAAGGCCUUUGGGUCGUAAAGCUCUGUCCUCAAGGAAGAUAAUGACGGUACUUGAGGAGGAAGCCCCGGCUAACUACGUGCCAGCCGCCGCGGUAA